Molecule: ribosomal RNA, 497 nt
Filed under: uncultured bacterium
Lineage: Bacteria
Description: partial 16S ribosomal RNA
Rfam family: Bacterial small subunit ribosomal RNA
Source: RNAcentral
GAUGAACGCUGGCAGCGUGCCUAAUACAUGCAAGUCGAGCGAACAGAUGAGGAGCUUGCUCCUCUGACGUUAGCGGCGGACGGGUGAGUAACACGUGGAUAACCUACCUAUAAGACUGGUAUAACUUCGGGAAACCGGAGCUAAUACCGGAUAAUAUAUUGAACCGCAUGGUUCAAUAGUGAGAGACGGUUUUGCUGUCACUUAUAGAUGGAUCCGCGCCGCAUUAGCUAGUUGGUAAGGUAACGGCUUACCAAGGCUACGAUGCGUAGCCGACCUGAGAGGGUGAUCGGCCACCCUGGAACUGAGAAGCGGUCCAGACUCCUAGGGGAGGCAGCAGUAGGGAAUCUUCCGCAAUGGGCGAGAGCCUGACGGAGCAACGCCGCGUGAGUGAUGAAGGUCUUCGGAUCGUAAAACUCUGUUAUUAGGGAAGAACAAAUGUGUAAGUAACUAUGCACGUAUUGACGGUACCUAGUCAGAAAGCCACGGCUAACUACGUG